UUGUCGAACGUUGUGCGAGGAAUGUGAAGGCCUUAGUUGUAAUCAUAGAAGUUUAUGGUUGUCAUAGUUACGGGGUUACGAGUGAUACCUUGCGCUUAGGAAUGUAAAGAUUUGUUGUCUAAGUAGCAGAAGACAAUGAUGGACAAACCGCAGAUAAUUUGCCAUGUUGAAAAAUCAUUGCCAUUUUCACUUUUUGAUGGCAAGUGGAUCCCUUGUUCGGCGAAGUUCGUAGUUCUAGGAUCCAAACCCAAGGGAACUGGCGCUCUCCAGAUUUAUGAAAUAACAGAAGGCGAUGUUAAACUACUCCAUGAGGUGGAGAAAAGCAAGCCAUUUAAAUGUGGUAGUUUUGGAGCAUCUUCAUUGAGGGAACGGCAUUUGGCAACUGGAGAUUUUGAUGGCAAGCUAAAUGUUUGGAAUUUAGAGGACACUUCAAACCCAGUGUACACAGCUUCAGCACACAAACAAAUUAUCAACUGUAUUGAUGGAAUUGGUGGAUUAAAUGUGGGAUGUGGUGCUCCUGAAAUAGUAACUGGAAGUCGUGAUGGUAGUGUGAAGGUAUGGGACAUUCGACAAAAGGGGAAACCUGUGGCUGUCAUGGAACCGGAAGAAGGUGAAGUUAGAAGAGACUGUUGGGCAGUAGCAUUUGGCAAUUCAUACAACUCAGAGGAAAGAAUGGUAUGUGCUGGUUAUGAUAAUGGUGACAUUAAGCUGUUCGACCUAAAAACAAUGGAACUUAGAUGGGAAACAAAUGUGAAAAAUGGUGUUUGUGGUCUUGAAUUUGACCGAAAAGAUAUUCCAAUGAAUAAACUCGUAGCUACAACUCUUGAAUCAAAAUUUUAUGUGUAUGAUACAAGAACAUUUCAUCCCAAGAAAGGUUUUGCAAGUCUGUCAGAAAGGGCUCACAAGUCAACAAUAUGGUUAGCGCGCCAUUUACCACAGAAUCGUGACAUUUUUGUCACUUGUGGAGGAAGUGGCUCAGUAUGUUUAUGGAAAUAGUCAGUUUUACAAGAUUAAUGAAAGCAGUGACUGAAUGACUCCUAGCAUUAGAAGAGUUAAUGGACCCACUGAUAGGGGCCACUUGAUGUUUAAAGACCUCCAUGUCAGACUGCUGUCGAAUUUUUGAAGACAACUUGAGCACACAAUCUCUUGUCUUUAUUGUGGCCAGAUAAUCACCAAUGUGUCGCCAUUUGGUUGCCAGCCUGACAGUGAGGCAGACUAAAAUCACGAAACGGAAUUUUGAAACACAACAGUUAUUUUAACUGUAAUCAGGGAGGUUGGAGGGAGGAUUGAAGUGAUCAAUUAUCCUGCACAGCGAGUGAAAACAACAGAUGAUGGAGCAGUAGGUGUAGUGGGGACAGUUAGUUUACUGCAAAACAACACAUUAUCCAGUCAGCCAAUCUCAAGCUAUGACUGGAAUCCAG
RNA transcript from Schistocerca piceifrons (Central American locust), 1421 nucleotides. It is a transcript of the gene named dynein axonemal assembly factor 10, with no coding region annotated. The record is from RefSeq and is a predicted model, not a curated record. NCBI's taxonomy places the organism in Eukaryota, Metazoa, Arthropoda, Insecta, Orthoptera, Acrididae. The transcript is spliced from 9 exons.